This 292-nucleotide ribosomal RNA is filed under the name uncultured bacterium. RNAcentral's name for it is "partial 16S ribosomal RNA". It matches the Rfam family "Bacterial small subunit ribosomal RNA", at positions 335 to 641 of the family's 1533-position model. The record is from RNAcentral.
GUCCCUACGGGGCGCAGCAGUCGGGAAUAUUGCGCAAUGGAGGAAACUCUGACGCAGUGACGCCGCGUGCAGGAAGAAGGUUUUCGGAUUGCAAACUGCUUUAGACAGGGAAGAAAGAAAUGACGGUACCUGUAGAAUAAGCUCCGGCUAACUACGUGCCAGCAGCCGCGGUAAUACGUAGGGAGCAAGCGUUAUCCGGAUUUACUGGGUGUAAAGGGAGCGUAGACGGCAAGACAAGCCUGGAGUGAAAGGCGGGGGCCCAACCCCCGGACUGCUCUGGGAACUGUCUGGC